Molecule: ribosomal RNA, 518 nt
Filed under: uncultured bacterium
Lineage: Bacteria
Description: bacterial SSU rRNA
Rfam family: Bacterial small subunit ribosomal RNA
Source: RNAcentral
CUACGUGCCAGCAGCCGCGGUAAUACGGAAGGUCCGGGCGUUAUCCGGAUUUAUUGGGUUUAAAGGGAGCGUAGGCCGGAGAUUAAGUGUGUUGUGAAAUGUAGACGCUCAACGUCUGACUUGCAGCGCAUACUGGUUUCCUUGAGUACGCACAACGUUGGCGGAAUUCGUCGUGUAGCGGUGAAAUGCUUAGAUAUGACGAAGAACUCCGAUUGCGAAGGCAGCUGACGGGAGCGCAACUGACGCUUAAGCUCGAAGGUGCGGGUAUCGAACAGGAUUAGAUACCCUGGUAGUCCGCACAGUAAACGAUGGAUGCCCGCUGUUGGUACCUGGUAUCAGCGGCUAAGCGAAAGCAUUAAGCAUCCCACCUGGGGAGUACGCCGGCAACGGUGAAACUCAAAGGAAUUGACGGGGGCCCGCACAAGCGGUGGAGCAUGUGGUUUAAUUCGAAGCAACGCGAAGAACCUUACCAGGUCUUGACAUCCCUCUGACCGCUCUAGAGAUAGAGUUUUCUUCGG